Molecule: small nucleolar RNA, 211 nt
Organism: Jaculus jaculus (lesser Egyptian jerboa)
Lineage: Eukaryota; Metazoa; Chordata; Mammalia; Rodentia; Dipodidae
Gene: U3
Rfam family: Small nucleolar RNA U3
About the family: Small nucleolar RNAs (snoRNAs) are involved in the processing and modification of rRNA in the nucleolus. There are two main classes of snoRNAs: the box C/D class, and the box H/ACA class.
Source: Ensembl
AAGAAUAUACUAUCAGGGAUCAUUUCUGUAGUUCCUUAAUAUAGAAGUUCCUCUGACUGUAUAAAGCACCAGAAACCAUGAAAGAUAGUGCAAUGUUCUCUCCUGAGCAUGAAGCUGGCCAUGGGUAUUGUGUGAAGCUUCCCUUUGCCAUUUAUGAUUGUUACUCACUCCCCUCGGGAGAGUUUGAGGGAUAGAAUGCAGUCUGGGUGGC